AUGGAGGAGGAGCUGAGUGGAGGGAGACAGAGGCUUGCUGGAGGCAGUGGGAUGGCGCCUGCUUCUCUGGAGAUCAGUGGACCUGCUUUGAGUGACUCCCAUCAACACCCAGCAGUGAGAGGUGGGAGGAAACCAGGAGAUGGGGAAGAAGAAGAAGAGGCAGAGAAGGAAAAAGAAGGAAGAAGGAGGAGGAGGUGGAGAAGGAGAAAGAAGAAAGAAGUAAUCUAUGAGGUAGGUCUAAGUGGUGCAAGCUUUCAAAGAAGGCCUAUGAAGAACUACUGCCCAUUCCUGAGGCCAUCCAGUGAGGGCUCUGGAGGAUCCAGCUCAACUGCUUGGAUGGUAAACUCUAUCGUGCACAAAGCAACACAAGGUAGUGUAAAUGAAAAAAUACACUGGGGCUCUGGAGCUUAUCCCUUCCAGUCCUCAGAAGAGCAAGAGAUGGCUAAGCAGGACAGGGCUUUGUUCUUUUAUUCCUGAUUCCAGAAGCAGUAACUGAGAGUGAGCACACAGCUGUGUUGUGCCAGUGAUUUCUAUAGGUUUACUUGGGGAUCACGGCCACUUAACCACUGGACUUCUGAGUUUAUCAUCUAGAAAUGAACUGUACCACUUUCAAGUCACUAAAUAUGUCAUGUGCUUUCAUUUUUCCACUGUUGUCCCUUCAUGCUGAGUGUCCUGCAGGCACUCACCUACCUGGCAAAUUCCUGCUGAUUCUUCAGACAUAUCAAGAGCUAUGUUCUUUAUACACAUUCAUAUCUUAGCAGUGUUCACAUUGUAUUAUGGUGAUCCACUUACUUUUCUGUCACUAGACUAUAAUUCCUUUGAGUGCAGGAUUACGGUUUUUUCUUUUUUCAUUUGGGUAUUGGUGGUUAGCACAUAGUAGAUACUCAAUAAUCACCUAAAGAACUUAACUAAAUAAUGAUAAGGAUCAUCGUUUCUUUUUCAGGUCCGAGAUUGGGUUUUAUUCAGUCACCAAGAACUUGUGAACAGGGCGAUGGCAUUGCAUAACUCCAGGAAUAUAACGUGAAUGGGGCCCCUAAGUCAUGGCCAUGCUUAUGGAACUCCUGUCAUAGGUCAGGCUAAUGGGGGAAUCUAAGUACCAGGUACUUACACUCCAGUUACAGAGACAGAGCUAAUAUGGAAAGAUGCAAUAAAGACAUAGUCAAAGUAGCCCUGCUUGUGGAU
Molecule: long non-coding RNA, 1182 nt
Filed under: Felis catus (domestic cat)
Lineage: Eukaryota; Metazoa; Chordata; Mammalia; Carnivora; Felidae
Description: lncRNA (ENSFCAG00000050986.1)
Source: RNAcentral